RNAcentral lists this ribosomal RNA (254 nucleotides) under uncultured bacterium. Its description in RNAcentral is "partial 16S ribosomal RNA". It matches the Rfam family "Bacterial small subunit ribosomal RNA", at positions 524 to 776 of the family's 1533-position model. The record is from RNAcentral.
UACAGAGGAGCCAAGCGUUGUCCGGAUUGACUGGGCGUAAAGCGCACGCAGGCGGAUGUGCGCGUGGGGUGUGAAAUCUGGCCGCUUAACGGCCAGGCGCCAUCCCAUACGGCACGUCUGGAGGGCUGCAGAGGUCGAUGGAAUUGCCGGUGUAGUGGUGAAAUGCGUAGAUAUCGGGAGGAACACCAGUGGCGAAGGCGACUACCUGGCCUGUUUCUUGACGCUGAGGCGCGAAAGCUAGGGGAGCAAACGGG